AACAUGAGAGUUUGAUCCUGGCUCAGGAUGAACGCUGGCGGCGUGCUUAACACAUGCAAGUCGAACGGACCCAUAUUGAAACCURGUGAUAUAUGGGUUAGUGGCGGACGGGUGAGUAACGCGUGGGUAACCUGCCUUACACAGGGGGAUAACACUUAGAAAUAGGUGCUAAAACCGCAUAAGCGCACAGCUUCGCAUGAAGCGGUGUGAAAAACUCCGGUGGUGUAAGAUGGACCCGCGUCUGAUUAGCUUGUUGGCGGGGUAACGGCCCACCAAGGCGACGAUCAGUAGCCGGCCUGAGAGGGCGGACGGCCACAUUGGGACUGAGACACGGCCCAGACUCCUACGGGAGGCAGCAGUGGGGAAUAUUGCACAAUGG
Molecule: ribosomal RNA, 379 nt
Filed under: Lachnospiraceae bacterium MD335
Lineage: Bacteria; Bacillati; Bacillota; Clostridia; Lachnospirales; Lachnospiraceae
Description: bacterial SSU rRNA
Source: RNAcentral